UUUAUAUCAUCACAUCCACUUCAAAGCACCAAGAAGCCCCUGGAUAGCCUUGGAAACACAGCCCCACUGGGAUGGGACAGAGGGCAGACACCGAGUCCUGCUCCAGAUGUGCUCACAUCUGGUCACAUGCAGCCAGGGAGAGAGCAGGAGAGCUGCCGGUUCCUGGAGGAAGACAAAGCCCAUAAAGCUGCCAAGCGUCCCUGCUCAGAGAUAUUUACACUCGCAACGUGUUCUCAUGGAAAUUAAUCCCAGGCUCACCCCUGCAGGAUCAGUGUGAUCUGCAUCCCCAUGGCACCCCCACGUGGGGAAAGCCUGGAGCCUCCGGACCCAGCCUGAUGUUCUCCUUUCCAUGGAGGGAAGGAAGGCUGGAAACACCUCCUCAGUGCCACCAUGAGCUUUGAAGGCCCUGAAGAAACACUCAGAACAGAAUUGUGGAUGUCAGAUAAUGCACUGUUAUUAAGAUGUGGAAGAGCCAUGGGCAGCUACAAGAGGCAGCUCCAUCAGGAUUUAUCAUCCCAGAUGCAAAACCCUCCAGGAUUCACGUCGAACCUGCAGCACUCCAUGAGUCAGCCUUCAGGGAAUCUGUGGUCAAACAGAUAAAACAUAAUUAUUCAUGCAAGAAUACAAGCAAAUAGUGGGAAAACAACUGCAUCAUAAGGGAGGAUGAUACAUCUGCCUGCAGGCCUGGUGCCUAAAAUGCUUCUCAGUUCUGCAUGCAGAAGUCUGGGCAGGAUUUUUUUAAAAACCUGGGCUGGUGGAAGGUGUCCUUGCCCAUGGCAGGGGGUGGAACUGGAUGAGUUUUAAUGGUCCCUUUCCAUGAUUCCAUGAAGGGCUGCACAUGCAGAUUCCGUCCCCUUGCAGCCCUAAUAGAGAGAUGAAAUAUUUUUUCACAGCAUCUGCUGCUGCACCAGGUCUCACUAAUAAUUUCAAAUUUCCCAGGGAGAAAAGAGUUAAGACUAAUUAGAAGCACUAGAUAAACUAGUAGCUGGAGGGGGAAAGCAGAAUUGAAGUUGCAUUUCAGUUUUAAAGGUGGUUAAAGCAUCUUUAAAGGCGAGGGGUCACUUUCUGGGAGCUGGAGCAAAGCAGCUCAUCAAUAAUGAAGGAGCCGGCGAUGGA
Zonotrichia leucophrys gambelii is the source of this 1116-nucleotide long non-coding RNA. RefSeq lists it as uncharacterized. The record is from RefSeq and is a predicted model, not a curated record. Lineage: Eukaryota; Metazoa; Chordata; Aves; Passeriformes; Passerellidae. The transcript has 3 exons.